This 497-nucleotide ribosomal RNA is filed under the name uncultured bacterium. Its description in RNAcentral is "partial 16S ribosomal RNA". It matches the Rfam family "Bacterial small subunit ribosomal RNA", at positions 28 to 507 of the family's 1533-position model. The record is from RNAcentral.
GAUGAACGCUGGCGGCGUGCCUAAUACAUGCAAGUCGAGCGAACGGACGCGACGCUUGCUUCUCUGUUGUUAGCGGCGCACGUGUGUGUCACACGUGGAUACCCUACCUAUAAGUCUGGUAUCUCUUCGGGACACCGUAUCUUAUCCCGUAUAAUCUUUUGCACCGCAUGGUUCAUAAGUGAAUUUCGGUCUUUCUGUCACUUCUCGCUGCAUCUGCGCUGCAUUAGCUAGUUGGUAAGGUAACGGCUUUCCAAGGCGACGAUGCAUAGCCGACGGGAGAGGGUGAUAGGCGACACUGGAACUGAGACACGGUCCAGACGCCUACGGGAGGCAGCAGUAGGGAAUCUUCCGCAAUGGGCGAAAGCAUGACGGAGCAACGCGGCGUGAGUGAUGAAGGUCUUCGGAGCGUAAAACUCUGUUAUUAGGGAAGAACAGAUGUGUAAGGAAAUGAGCAGAGCUUGACGGUACCUAAUCAGAAAGCCACGGCUAACUACGUG